AUUCAGGUGUCGAAAUUGGUAGACGCACCAGCUUCAGGUGCUGGCGAUCGUAAGGUUGUGGGGGUUCGAGUCCCUUCCUGGGCACCA
This 87-nucleotide transfer RNA is filed under the name Polynucleobacter necessarius STIR1. Its description in RNAcentral is "tRNA-Leu-CAG-1-1". It matches the Rfam family "tRNA". From Rfam's summary of the family: Transfer RNA (tRNA) molecules are approximately 80 nucleotides in length. Their secondary structure includes four short double-helical elements and three loops (D, anti-codon, and T loops). The record is from RNAcentral. Lineage: Bacteria; Pseudomonadati; Pseudomonadota; Betaproteobacteria; Burkholderiales; Burkholderiaceae.